GCACAAGCGGUGGAGCAUGUGGUUUAAUUCGAUGAUACGCGAGGAACCUUACCUGGGCUCAAAUGUAUGUUGACGUAUUCUGAAAGGGAUACUUCUUCGGACAAUAUACAAGGUGCUGCAUGGUUGUCGUCAGCUCGUGCCGUGAGGUGUCGGGUUAAGUCCCAUAACGAGCGCAACCCCUAUCAUUAGUUGCCAUCAGGUCAAGCUGGGGACUCUAAUGAAACUGCCUACGCAAGUAGUGAGGAAGGUGGGGAUGACGUCAAAUCAGCACGGCCCUUACGUCCAGGGCUACACACGUGCUACAAUGGCCGGUACAAAGGGCAGCUACCUGGUGACAGGAUGCUAAUCUCAAAAGCCGGUCUCAGUUCGGAUCGGAGUCUGCAACCCGACUCCGUGAAGCUGGAAUCGCUAAUAAUCGCGCAUCAGCCAUGGCGCGGUGAAUACGUUCCCGGGCCUU
This 457-nucleotide ribosomal RNA is filed under the name uncultured Sphingobacteriales bacterium. RNAcentral's name for it is "bacterial SSU rRNA". It matches the Rfam family "Bacterial small subunit ribosomal RNA", at positions 923 to 1382 of the family's 1533-position model. Lineage: Bacteria; Pseudomonadati; Bacteroidota; Sphingobacteriia; Sphingobacteriales. The record is from RNAcentral.